ACUGAGUGGCGGACGGGUGAGUAACGCGUGGGCAACCUGCCCCAUACAGGGGGAUAACAGCCGAAAACGGCUGCUAAUACCGCAUAAACCAGGGAGGCGCAUGCCUCUUUGGGGAAAGCUCCGGCGGUAUGGGAGGGGCCCGCGUCUGAUUAGCUUGUUGGCGGGGCAGCGGCCCACCAAGGCGACGAUCAGUAGCCGGCCUGGGAGGGCGGACGGCCACAUUGGGACUGAGACACGGCCCAAACUCCUACGGAAGGCAGCAG
RNAcentral lists this ribosomal RNA (263 nucleotides) under uncultured bacterium. RNAcentral's name for it is "partial 16S ribosomal RNA". It matches the Rfam family "Bacterial small subunit ribosomal RNA", at positions 90 to 354 of the family's 1533-position model. The record is from RNAcentral.